UACGGAGGGGGCUAGCGUUGUUCGGAAUUACUGGGCGUAAAGGGCGCGCAGGCGGCUGCUCAAGUCAGGCGUGAAAGGCCUGGGCUCAACCCGGGAAUUGCGCUUGAGACUGGGCUGGCUUGAGUGCGGGAGAGGAUGGUGGAAUUCCCAGUGUAGAGGUGAAAUUCGUAGAUAUUGGGAAGAACACCGGUGGCGAAGGCGGCCAUCUGGACCGCAACUGACGCUGAGGCGCGAAAGCCAGGGGAGCAAACGGG
RNAcentral lists this ribosomal RNA (254 nucleotides) under uncultured bacterium. Its description in RNAcentral is "partial 16S ribosomal RNA". It matches the Rfam family "Bacterial small subunit ribosomal RNA", at positions 524 to 776 of the family's 1533-position model. The record is from RNAcentral.